ACGAACGCUGGCGGCGUGCUUAACACAUGCAAGUCGAGCGGUAAGGCCCUUUCGGGGGUACACGAGCGGCGAACGGGUGAGUAACACGUGGGUGACCUGCCCUCAGCUCUGGGAUAAGCCCGGGAAACUGGGUCUAAUACUGGAUAUGACUCCACGGUGCAUGCCGUGGGGUGGAAAGCCUUGUGCGGCUGAGGAUGGGCCCGCGGCCUAUCAGCUUGUUGGUGGGGUGAUGGCCUACCAAGGCGACGACGGGUAGCCGGCCUGAGAGGGCGACCGGCCACACUGGGACUGAGACACGGCCCAGACUCCUACGGGAGGCAGCAGUGGGGAAUCUUGCGCAAUGGGCGAAAGCCUGACGCAGCGACGCCGCGUGAGGGAUGACGGCCU
Molecule: ribosomal RNA, 387 nt
Filed under: uncultured bacterium
Lineage: Bacteria
Description: bacterial SSU rRNA
Rfam family: Bacterial small subunit ribosomal RNA
Source: RNAcentral